This is a long non-coding RNA of Rhinichthys klamathensis goyatoka, 382 nucleotides long. RefSeq lists it as uncharacterized. Lineage: Eukaryota; Metazoa; Chordata; Actinopteri; Cypriniformes; Leuciscidae. The record is from RefSeq and is a predicted model, not a curated record. The transcript has 3 exons.
AGGUUCGUGAGUUGCUACAAAGAAAGCUGUCACUACAGAAACUUAGUACCAGCCAUACCAAUAGCACCAGUGCGGGAUCAUCAUCCACACCUCGACUCAAUUUCUUGCCAUGGAUCCGGCGGAGGAAAGCGUACAACGUGUCUGAAGCCAACACUUCCUCAGCAGUUACAGACCGCUCCAACAGCUCAUAUGCCAUUUUGAACACUUAAAACACACUCCAAAAGUGUUUCCUAUACUGCAAUGUCUGUUAGUAUUUGGUGUAAGAAAUGUUUCUAAGUUCUGAUAUGACAGAAAUAAGGUUACAAUAUGACUUUAUACUGUAUUGUAUAUUAUACAGUGGUUAAGGGUGUAGACUUGUAUGUAUACUUGAAAAAUGGGGUAU